UACGAAGGGGGCUAGCGUUGCUCGGAAUUACUGGGCGUAAAGGGCGCGUAGGCGGACAGUUAAGUUGGGGGUGAAAGCCCGGGGCUCAACCUCGGAAUUGCCUUCAAUACUGGCUGUCUUGAGUGUGAGAGAGGUGUGUGGAACUCCGAGUGUAGAGGUGAAAUUCGUAGAUAUUCGGGAGAACACCAGUGGCGAAGGCGGCACACUGGCUCACUACUGACGCUGAGGCGCGAAAGCGUGGGGAGCAAACAGG
Molecule: ribosomal RNA, 253 nt
Filed under: uncultured bacterium
Lineage: Bacteria
Description: partial 16S ribosomal RNA
Rfam family: Bacterial small subunit ribosomal RNA
Source: RNAcentral